This is a long non-coding RNA of Podarcis raffonei (Aeolian wall lizard), 2218 nucleotides long. RefSeq lists it as uncharacterized. NCBI's taxonomy places the organism in Eukaryota, Metazoa, Chordata, Lepidosauria, Squamata, Lacertidae. The transcript has 3 exons. The record is from RefSeq and is a predicted model, not a curated record.
CUGUCCGGGGUUCCUGGAGGGGCUCGACGGCGCUUGGGGGAGGAGGGAGGGAGAACACACACAGGUGAAACAGAUGGACCAGAUGCCGGACAGCUUGCUACCCCGAUGUGGCUUUUCCUCCAAGAAGAAUACGCACCGAGAAUGAAGGUCCUAACAGCAGGUGAUUAGGCUGGCCUGUUUGGUACCAACAGCGAGAGGAAGGUAGCAGGAAAAAACCUUGAUGUUGUGGAUAGAAUUACACAAAGCUCAUAAGAGAAUGUCAGGUAAAGACACUGGAACUUUACCCAGGCAUAUGAAUGACAUCUACAGUGCCAAGGAUGGACAAGACACUUUCCCCACUGUUGCUGUCUCUCAAUUCCCCACUUUUUUUUUCUUCGAGAAGCAACACACUCCACCUGAUCACACUCCCCUGGCAGAGAAUUACUGAGCCUGCAUUGUUCAGGAGCAGUAGCAGCUAGCCUUUCUGUUCCUCAACGCCCCUUCAGAGUCUGGUCUUCUCCAGUUGAUUUCCAUUCAUCAUGAUCCAUGGAUAAACAUCUGAUAGAAGGAAAAGAUGCAGCACACUAGAGCAGGAAAGAGUUUGUAGGCCUACAGGCAUUCCACAGAUCAGAUCCAACGGCUCAGGAAGAAAUUAUAAACUGGGGUGUGCUAGGCUCCGGAUUGGUCCCUUUCGCUAUAGAAGGUAGAAAGGGGACCCAGAAUGUGCUGCUCCCUACCACGUUGUCCUCUCCUGUUCAUCUUGGCCCUCAACUCUAUGGGCAUUGCUGUCAUUUCCUUCACACAGCUGCCGUGUAAAACAGCCUUGGGCUGUUACGUUUCCACACUACAGGCAUUUAGAAGCUGCUCUGCACUUUUGUACAGUACUUUCAACACAGUCAUGGUGCCAGUGGGGAAAAGAUUUCUGCCUUAUGGAAAAGAUAAGGCAGGGUACUGAGAAAGUGACACAAACGGACACCAACCCCCAUUUUGGAAUGUUUUCGGCUGCUAAGCCUGUCUCAAUUUAUGUAUAUAUUAGAAUUGUUAUUGCUGCAUGCAUCCCUGAGUGAUGCAAAUGCAUCAGAAGGGCGGGAGAUAGGUUUUCUGAAAUAAAUAAACUAAAUAGGAGCUCUGCGGCAGCUGCUCCUGAUUUGGAGAUAAGGAUUAGGAUGAAAGACCCUAAUUUGGGCCCUCGUAGGCAGCCAAAUCCGUGAUUUCAAGCGGAUCAGUAAUCAGGAGUUGCCAGAUUCUUUCUUCUAUAGCCCUGUCUUUCCAUUGCCGUUCUUCCAGCAUAAUUCUGCCGGUACUAAAUCAAAUGUGCAACGUAAAGCUGCAGUAACAAAAUGUUAAAUCAAGCUGGGUGAGUGGAUGCUUAUCCAGUGGAAGCAGCUGCCAAAAACGUGGUAUUUCAUCUCGUUUUUCAUGCAUAGUAAUGAAGGCUGCACUAAUCCCUGAAAUCAGAUAUUUCACGAAUACCUUUUAAAGAUGCACACAAAAGAGUUAAACAGAACUCGAAGCCACAGAUUUUUUUUUUAAAAUUCUAAUUUUUAGAAUAAAGGGAUAUCACAAACUGCCAUUGCUACUGUGAAAAAGACUGAAAGGUCAUUUUUUAUAGCAUUAAGUCUUCUGGGUUACCAAUCCUGAAACAAAAAUAUGAAUAUGCAUUUAUAAUCUUUCUUCCCUGUGCAUAUUUUAUGUAGAUCUAGAACAAUUGCAGAAAUAAGCCUUUCCUCCAGGUAGAUGCUUUCAUCCAAGCGAAUUAGCAACCUGGACAUUUUAUGGUAACAUGCAUUAUGGAUAGCGGAAGACGUUUGAAAAGGAGCUCUUUGUUUAAGUGGCUUGGUAAGGAGCCACACUGCUGGUUCACAGCAGGUUGAGUUUCUGGGUUUGCUUUUAUUGUGGAAUUGAUGUGAAAUUUGAGUUUAGCCAGCCUGGCUGAAAAGGAAAGGGGAAUCAGAUAGGCGUUGCAAUGCAGGGAAGCUGUACUGUAACCUUUGCCCGUGUCUCCGUGUUAUACAGCCUAAAUGUGAAUGCUGGCUUUGAGAGGUUCAGCGCAGUCUCCUGCAAACUUUAAAUGUUGUCCAGCCCUGACAAGGACAGACUUCAGUGGAAAUGAGAAGUAGUUCAUUGGAUAGCAUGCACAGGCAGUGCACAUGUAGAAUAAUGUGUGCACAUGGAAUUCCUGGGCACCUCUUUCAUGCCUCUUCUUCGCUGUAUUAAACAUAAUCAUCAUUUCCUUUAA